Molecule: non-coding RNA, 222 nt
Filed under: Chelonia mydas (Green sea turtle)
Lineage: Eukaryota; Metazoa; Chordata; Testudines; Cheloniidae
Description: Eukaryotic large subunit ribosomal RNA
Rfam family: Eukaryotic large subunit ribosomal RNA
Source: Rfam by way of RNAcentral
AACGCCGGGUUAAGGCGCCCAAUGCCGAUGCUCAUCAGACCCCAGAAAAGGUGUUGGUUGAUAUAGACAGCAGGACGGUGGCCAUGGAAGUUGGAAUCCGCUAAGGAGUGUGUAACAACUCACCUGCCGAAUCAACUAGCCCUGAAAAUGGAUGGCGCUGGAGCGUCAGGCCCAUACCCGGCCGUCACCGGCAAUAUGAGCCGCGGGGGCUACGCCGCGACG